This 188-nucleotide ribosomal RNA is filed under the name Bacillus sp. CH30_1T. RNAcentral's name for it is "partial 16S ribosomal RNA". It matches the Rfam family "Bacterial small subunit ribosomal RNA", at positions 1 to 184 of the family's 1533-position model. Lineage: Bacteria; Bacillati; Bacillota; Bacilli; Caryophanales; Bacillaceae. The record is from RNAcentral.
UUUAUCGGAGAGUUUGAUCCUGGCUCAGGACGAACGCUGGCGGCGUGCCUAAUACAUGCAAGUCGAGCGGACUGAUGGGAGCUUGCUCCCAUCAGUCAGCGGCGGACGGGUGAGUAACACGUGGGUAACCUGCCUGUAAGACUGGGAUAACUCCGGGAAACCGGGGCUAAUACCGGAUAACUCAUUUC